This 65-nucleotide transfer RNA is filed under the name Curculionoidea sp. 17 KM-2017. Its description in RNAcentral is "tRNA-Ala". The record is from RNAcentral. Lineage: Eukaryota; Metazoa; Arthropoda; Insecta; Coleoptera.
AGGAUAAUAGUUAAAAAAUUAACAUUUAAGUUGCAUUUAAAAAUUAUUGGUAUCAAUUUAUCUUU